Tympanuchus pallidicinctus (lesser prairie-chicken) is the source of this 4587-nucleotide long non-coding RNA. RefSeq lists it as uncharacterized. Lineage: Eukaryota; Metazoa; Chordata; Aves; Galliformes; Phasianidae. The transcript is spliced from 2 exons. The record is from RefSeq and is a predicted model, not a curated record.
GGGGGGUGGCAUGGGAUUUCCAGGCUGUUCAUUUGGCAGCUUGUGGGAGAGGAAGCAAAGCCCCUUCCAUGAAGGACUGUCACUGGUGAUGGGUGGGCUGGGGACAAGGAGUGCAGAUGGAUACUGCUCAUUCUUCAAAGACCAUCUCAGCAACCCACAGCCUUCUUCCCAAUAGUGUUAACUCUGCAUUUUUACGGCGUAGCAUGCGUGUAGGUUUUUGGUUUUGUUUUGUUGUUCUUUUUUUUUUUUUUUUUUUAAUGUUUUGUUAUCGUUUUGGUUUUCUGUUUUCUGUUGUUGGUUUCAUUUUUGUUCAGUUUCGUUUUUCUUUCGCUAUUACUGGUUGUAUCGGUCUGGGGGUGUUUGGGGAGGGGGUUGGGGGGAGGGAUGUGGGGCAAUUGGUCUCUUGUUUCAUCGGGGAGGGAGGGAGAUGAGGUCUGGUGACCGAAGUUCCAGAUCAUUUCCAGGUCUUUUUUAGAACCUGAAUUCAGAAAAGGAGGAGGAAAAAAAAAAAAAAAGAAAAAAAAAAAAAAAAAAGGAAACAAAAAGAAAAAUAAGAGCCCAGUAUUGAUGCCAGAACUAAGGAGACAGGGAGGCUGACGUGAGCCUGAGACUGUGAAUGUCCACAUCUUUGGAGCCGAGGUCCUCAAAACCCUCAGAGCAGUUGGUAUGGGGGGGGGGAGGGAGGGAGGGAGACUUGUGAUUCGUAUUGUCCUGCAGCAGAACUGCCAGCUACUGACACACGCAUUGUAGGUGGGAGGGUGGGCUGGGGAUGCAUCUUAACCCCUUCAAAGCCUUUCUACCUUUAUUUGUUUCUUUCCAUCACAAGGUGCUAUUGGUCAAAACCCGGGGGGGGGGGGGGAGACUUGUGACCAUUCGUUCCUUUUCCCACCUUAAUUUGACUGUCCAGCCAGCAGCACUGGGAACCCCUUCACAUUUAUCACAUGGGAGAGAGAGGAAACCACGAGCAGCACAAAAUAAAAAUAAAAUAUCAAAAAAUUAAUUCCAUAUUCUCCCAUUACAAGUGAUUGUUUUUAGGAGGCCACACAUUGGUGCCGGAGCCAGAUGAGUAACCCUGAAACUACAGAGGGUUUUCUUUUUUAAAUCCAGUUUAUUACAAAUAAUGACUUAUUUAAUGUCUGGGAUCGUGAGCCCCACCAGACUCCUGGCACCUCCUUGUAGGGUGGUAUGUAUCUAGACUUGCAUUGUACAAACCUUUUUUUAAAAGCAUGUGUUUAGGUUUCUGUGAAAACGUUGUUGAAAUGUAAAGUACGUGUUUGGAUUUUAACUUCAUACCGAGCUCUGUCCGUUUUUUUUUUUUUUUUUUUGGUCUCAAUAAAAUUUUAGAUUUAUAAUGCUGAUUUUUUUCUUCUCAACCUUGCUCCUUCCUCCAGCUCUCUUGUGCGUGAGCUCGGUGUAGAGCAGUGAGGAGGGGACUCAGCCCUGGUGGCGCUGAACGAGGUUAGAGCUGGCUCUCAUCUAGGUGUCGACUGGAGCUCUGCAGCAGCCCACGGCUGCGUCUCAUCCGUUGUGACUGCAGAAGAGUCGUGGCAGAGCUUGGUAGCUAAAGGCCUGAGUCGAGGAGGCUCCUGAGGGCGAGAGGCGUAGCUGUGAUGUGGGACCUGGGUGAUGGAAGGAGAUGCUGCGUGAGCUCCAGGCCAAGACCCGGCUGGCUGCGCUGUGGCUGAUUCUGGUGGCCGAAGAUGGAAAUGGCGUUUUUGCUUUGUUCUUGGCCUUGUGCAAGAGCUUGCAGCCUUCAGGAUUGGAGGAAGGGAAAACUGUGCCCCUCUGCUCGGCCCCCUGGCUCUCAAUGCCACAGCGCAGCCCUUGGCUUCGCUGAGAGGAGGAUGGGGCUUUCUGGCAUGCGAUUUCCAGCAUCCAGGGGGUGCGUGAGAGCAGGGAGCAGCGCUGAGGUUUUGGGUGGUGUUCAGCUGCUCUGCCAGUGCCUGCAAAACUAUGCAGCCCAUUGAAAUCCGGGCUGUUCGCAGCGCUGUGCUGAAAUGUCUUCCCUGCACUGGUAGCCAGCAGCAGCGGCAAUUAAACUGGUGUUAAUCACUGGAGUUGGAAGGAGGGAACGUCCACUUAAUUGAACGUAAGGAGGCUGCAGCUCCUCGGAGAGGCUCUUGGCUGAUUGAUGGCCACGGGGGGCUGGAAGCUGAGUGCUGCAGGAGUCUGGAGGAUGUGGGGCUCCUGAUGGGGCAGAGCAUCGCCUCCUGAGGCCCUGAGCCCAGCUCUGUGUGUGCUGGGAGCUGUGCUGGGUCGCGGUGGCGGGUUCAGUGCUCGGGGAUGGGGGCAGCCCAGCGCUCCUCAAAGCCAGGGCUCUGGCCGAGAUCAGAGGCAGGAGGCCCCGCUGGUGGCUAAAUGCUUCCUGCCUUGGAAAAUGAAAGGUCUGCUCACCACCUGAUCUGUGCUGGCAGGCAGCCCACGCUGCUGACAGUGCCAGGAUGUGACAGCGAUGCACCGAGCGCCGGCCCCGUGCUGCCCCAAAGGUUGGGGGAGAGGCUGCAGGCAGGGGUUGCACCAGGAGAGUUGUCAGCUGAAGGCAGAGCAGGGCUGCUGGCUGGGGUAGAGCGAGAAUGGGGGGGAUGGCAGGAGCCAGGCCAUGGAGACCCUUGAAAAGGACGACAGUGGGGGGGGAAGGCAAAUGCUUGGCCCUGGUUCCCAGAGCCUAACAGCGACCUGGGGUGAUAAACAGCCCUGGGGCCCAGGAAGAGACUGGAAAAACCUCGUAGUUUAUUUUAGUGCCCUGGGCUGAGCUGGGAGCAGGUGGAGCUGCCCUGGCCUCAGCACCCAGCAAAAGGGAGAUGAACCCAUCCCCUCCUGGGAUCAGGGGAGGUCAGUCUGCGGAAAAUCACAGUGGCCCCCUGAAGUUCCCAAUAGAAGCAGGACCUCACCUCCCUAUGGGGUACAACGCGGUGCUGCUGCUGGGCUCUGCCAAAGGACUGCAGCACCUUGCUGCCCAAGACUCCUCUUGUUCAUGGGCUCAGUUGGUGGUUCCUAAUCGAUUUGGGAACCCAGCUCUGUACCAACGCUGCCCCCACUAGAGGCCAGGUGGGGGAAAUGCUGCUGGCAAUGAUGGGGUGGCUGCUGCUGCCUUUGAGGAACACCCACAGGCUGGGACAGCAGCAGUGCCCGCUCCCCACAGAGCACCAGAGAGCGCUGGGAGCUGUGCCUGACAGCCCCCACAGGGAGGCUCUUCAGUUUCCCAAACGUGUUUCAGCUUAAGAAAUGAAAUAAAAAAAGAAAAUACACGAAACCAAGGCCUGUACAGUGAAUAAGCCAUUUUAUUUUUCGUCCUGUGCUCACACAAUCUCUCUUCUUUCCCUGACAGGUCACAGAUCAUUAAAAUAAAGUUUCUAAGAGGAAAAUAAUUUAAAACAUACACUCAGGGCUCCAUUCCAACCUCCCCAACACCCAACAUCUCCAUCCCUUGUGCUUCAUCUCAUGCGUAAGUAAAGCUGUUGGAUCUCAGGAGCGCGGUACGGCAGAGCCCUGCGCAAGGCCCGCAGAGGCAGCAGGCAGCCCUCAGGCUCUUCCCCACCCCGCACCCUGAGAUGCAGCUCCUUUCCCCGCAGCCUGUUCACAUGCCCACACCAACACCUCCUCCUUGGCAGCCCCCCAGCAGCAUCACUUUUUCCCCCCCCCCCCGGCACCCCCGGGUUCCCUGCAGAGCUGCUGCCCGCACCUCCUCAGCGCCGUCCCCCUCAGUGCUGCACCCUCAGCCCGUAUCACAUGCACAGGACUGGCUAGGAAAGCCAUUUUAAGCUAUUCAGUUGCUGGUAAAGUCACUCCCAGCUGUGCUAUAUUGUAAAUACAGCUUCUAGGAUCGUCUCCAUGGAGGAGACCAACAGUGAUCAAGGCACUACCCCCACCCCCCUCCUUAAAACAAAGGAAGUCAGACCAACACCUAGGGACAGAAGAGAAUCCUAUAAUGUGAUCACACGGUUACACUGAAUCUUUAUGGCAAAGAGAACAAUUAGCAGCUUUGAACGUUCGGGCUUCUCCCUUUUACUCAACACAAGCACUCUAGACCCUAUAGGGAAAACAGGGCGGAAGCCCUACAAAUUAAAAAAUGAAAGAAAAUAAAAUCAAAGCACGGUUAAGAAACAGGAAUCCUAACAGCUGUCUAGUUCUAUAGGUGACAAGCCCACGGCUCUGCGUGCUGCCCCUGCUGCCCCACAGCCGCCCCGUGGCCCCCAAAGCUUCCUCAGCCAGGCAGGAGGAGAAGACAGCGGCUGCAUGCGGGCUGCUGCCCUCCUGCACAGCGCGGCAGUGACGGCAGUGACUGCUCUGUGAGUGUGGUGGGGAUGCACAGCGCUCUGCUCCUGUUAACCCUUCCCAGUUCCACCCCCCCUCAGGGCUCCGGCUCCAUGCCCCAAGGCAGCACAGCCCUCCCUUCCUCACGGAGCUGGAAGGGUUAACGGAAGGCCGCGCCGCUCGCGUCGCCAUGCGUGCACUGGUCUGAUCUAGAAAGGGAUGGUGGCUAAUCGGGAAUUAAGUCGGGGUUGAAUCACACACACUGAUGUCAAAACUGGUUCAGGAAAGAAAAAAAAAGAAAAAAAAAAACGAAAAAAAAAAAAAACAAAACAA